CGGAUUGAAGGCUGAAAUUCGCCUUCAUGAAGCCGGAAUUGCUAGUAAUGGCAGGUCAGCAUACUGCCGUGAAUACGUUCCCGGGCCUUGUACACACCGCCCGUCACACCAUGAGAGUUGGGAAUACCCGAAGCCUGUGAGCUAACGUUAGGGAGGGAGCAGCCGAAGGCAGGUCGGAUGACUGGGGUGAAGUCGUAACAAGGUACC
Molecule: ribosomal RNA, 207 nt
Filed under: uncultured bacterium
Lineage: Bacteria
Description: partial 16S ribosomal RNA
Rfam family: Bacterial small subunit ribosomal RNA
Source: RNAcentral